This 497-nucleotide ribosomal RNA is filed under the name Bacillus sp. (in: firmicutes). Its description in RNAcentral is "bacterial SSU rRNA". It matches the Rfam family "Bacterial small subunit ribosomal RNA", at positions 129 to 611 of the family's 1533-position model. The record is from RNAcentral. Lineage: Bacteria; Bacillati; Bacillota; Bacilli; Caryophanales; Bacillaceae.
CCCAUAAGACUGGGAUAACUCCGGGAAACCGGGGCUAAUACCGGAUAACAUUUUGAACUGCAUGGUUCGAAAUUGAAAGGCGGCUUCGGCUGUCACUUAUGGAUGGACCCGCGUCGCAUUAGCUAGUUGGUGAGGUAACGGCUCACCAAGGCAACGAUGCGUAGCCGACCUGAGAGGGUGAUCGGCCACACUGGGACUGAGACACGGCCCAGACUCCUACGGGAGGCAGCAGUAGGGAAUCUUCCGCAAUGGACGAAAGUCUGACGGAGCAACGCCGCGUGAGUGAUGAAGGCUUUCGGGUCGUAAAACUCUGUUGUUAGGGAAGAACAAGUGCUAGUUGAAUAAGCUGGCACCUUGACGGUACCUAACCAGAAAGCCACGGCUAACUACGUGCCAGCAGCCGCGGUAAUACGUAGGUGGCAAGCGUUAUCCGGAAUUAUUGGGCGUAAAGCGCGCGCAGGUGGUUUCUUAAGUCUGAUGUGAAAGCCCACGGCUCA